AAACUCAAAGGAAUUGACGGGGGCCCGCACAAGCGGCGGAGCAUGUUGCUUAAUUCGAUGCAACGCGAAGAACCUUACCAAGGUUUGACAUCACCCGGAUCGCUCCAGAGAUGGGGUUUCCCUUCGGGGCUGGGUGACAGGUGGUGCAUGGCUGUCGUCAGCUCGUGUCGUGAGAUGUUGGGUUAAGUCCCGCAACGAGCGCAACCCUCGUUCCAUGUUGCCAGCAUGCCCUUUGGGGUGGUGGGGACUCAUGGGAGACUGCCGGGGUCAACUCGGAGGAAGGUGGGGAUGACGUCAAGUCAUCAUGCCCCUUAUGCCUUGGGCUGCAAACAUGCUACAAUGGCCGGUACAGAGGGCGGCGAUACCGUAAGGUGGAGCGAAUCCCGUAAAGCCGGUCUCAGUUCGGAUUGGGGUCUGCAACUCGACCCCAUGAAGUCGGAGUCGCUAGUAAUCGCAGAUCAGCAACGCUGCGGUGAAUACGUUCCCGGGCCUUGUACACA
RNAcentral lists this ribosomal RNA (500 nucleotides) under uncultured Actinomycetes bacterium. RNAcentral's name for it is "bacterial SSU rRNA". It matches the Rfam family "Bacterial small subunit ribosomal RNA", at positions 897 to 1389 of the family's 1533-position model. Lineage: Bacteria; Bacillati; Actinomycetota; Actinomycetes. The record is from RNAcentral.